This 301-nucleotide ribosomal RNA is filed under the name uncultured bacterium. RNAcentral's name for it is "partial 16S ribosomal RNA". It matches the Rfam family "Bacterial small subunit ribosomal RNA", at positions 509 to 807 of the family's 1533-position model. The record is from RNAcentral.
CAGUAGCCGCGGUAAUACAGAGGAUGCAAGCGUUAUCCGGAAUGAUUGGGCGUAAAGGGUGCGUAGGCGGUUUGGCAAGUCUUGUGUGAAAUCUUCGGGCUCAACCCGAAGCCUGCACGAGAAACUACCGGGCUUGAGUAUUGGAGAGGUGAGUGGAAUUUCCGGUGUAGCGGUGAAAUGCGUAGAUAUCGGAAGGAACACCUGUGGCGAAAGCGGCUCACUGGACAAUAACUGACGCUGAUGCACGAAAGCUAGGGGAGCAAACAGGAUUAGAUACCCCCGUAGUCCCUGUCUCUUAUAC